AUGGAAGGUCGGAAAAGCAAAAAUCCUUUUGAAGAAUUUAAAGAUUUGCAACAGAUCCACGAUGUUGAGAAGUACAUAAAGGAAUUCAAAUACAUAUCUUCACAAGCGGUUCGCCUCCCUGAAGAUCAGUACCUUGGUUAUUUUGGGAAGGCUCAAAUUGGAAAUAAGAUUGAAGGUGAGAGCUUUCAACCCUGGAACUCGGAUUUAGGCCAUGAAGAUGGCUCGAAAUGUGGAAACAGAGCUGCGUUGAUCUUUGAUUCAUAG
Non-coding RNA from Vicia faba (fava bean), 264 nucleotides. The record is from the annotation of a GenBank genome assembly. NCBI's taxonomy places the organism in Eukaryota, Viridiplantae, Streptophyta, Magnoliopsida, Fabales, Fabaceae.